Molecule: ribosomal RNA, 253 nt
Filed under: uncultured bacterium
Lineage: Bacteria
Description: partial 16S ribosomal RNA
Rfam family: Bacterial small subunit ribosomal RNA
Source: RNAcentral
UACGAAGGUGGCGAGCGUUACUCGGAAUUACUAGGCGUAAAGGGCAGGUAGGUGGUUUGAUAAGUCUGUUGUGUAAACUCCCGGCUUAACUGGGAGAGGUCAACGGAUACUGUCAGGCUUGAGUAUAGGAGAGGGUACUGGAAUUCCCGGUGUAGCGGUGAAAUGCGCAGAUAUCGGGAGGAACACCAAUGGCGAAAGCAGGUACCUGGACUAUUACUGACACUCAGCUGCGAAAGCUAGGGGAGCAAACAGG